RNAcentral lists this ribosomal RNA (1803 nucleotides) under Triticum aestivum (bread wheat). RNAcentral describes it as "partial small subunit ribosomal RNA". The record is from RNAcentral. Lineage: Eukaryota; Viridiplantae; Streptophyta; Magnoliopsida; Poales; Poaceae.
AUGAGCGGCGGCGCGUCUCCCCCCGCCACUCCGGCGGCAUCGACGCCGGCGGCGACGAGGCCUCGCCUGUCGAGGUUCCGCCGGGCCGGCAGCGCCGUCGCGGCCGCCGCACCGGGAGGCUUCCUCCACCUCUCCCUCCUCGCCUCCCUCCGCCGCCGGCCCUCCCUCCAGGCGCACGCGCAGCUCCUCCUCCUCGGCCUCCCGCUCCCGGCGCACGCCGCCUCGCGCCUCCUCCGCCCGCACCUCCGGUCGGGGCACCACCUCGCCUCGCUCCGCCUCUUCCUCCGAAUCCUGCGCGACCGUGGACGGCCGCCGAAAGCCUCCCGGGAGACGGAGACGGAGGCCGUCCCCAACUCCCACUCCCUCUCCGCCGCCCUCGCGGCCUGCGCCCACCACGCGUCCCCCUCCCCCGGGCUCUCCGCCCACGCCUUCCUCGUCAAGUCCGGCUACGCCUCCGACCUCUUCGCCGCCAACUCCCUGCUCCACUUCUACGCGUCCUUCGGUCUGCCCUCUCUGGCGCACAGGCUGUUCGAUGAAAUGCCGACAAGGGACACCGUAUCCUUCAACACUCUGAUCGGGUCAUAUGUGCAUGCAUGCUGUGUUGGCGAUGCUUUCGGAGUAUUCAGGGUUAUGGUGGACAGAGGAUUGCGGCCGGAUGGGUGGACCAUCACGGCGUUGUCGGGCGCAUGUGCGGGACUGAAGGAUUUGAGGGUGGCAAAAGCAUUGCACGGGGUUGCCAUGAGAGCGCUUCGGGCUGAACUGUUUCAGUCACAACAGGUGGCGAUCGUGUUGGUGGACAUGUAUGCGAAGUGCAGGGGGGUGGCGCUUGCCAGGAAGGUGUUUGAUUUGGCAGGGGAGAAGGCAAGGGACGUGAGGUUGUGGACCAUGAUGGUGUCAGGGUAUGCAAGGUCUAGGGAGCUUGAGAUGGCUAGAGCGUUAUUCAAUGAGAUGCCAGAGAAGGAUUUGGUCGCAUGGACGGCUCUUAUUGGUGGAUUCGUGCAGUUUGGCAAAUCUAAGGAGGCAUUGAUGCUAUUUGAGGAGAUGGAGGAGGCAGGAAUUGAGGCAGAUGGAGUCACAGUAGUUAAAGUUCUUUCAGCUUGUAUUCAGUACCGCGCGUUCGAUGCGGCAAAGAGGCUUCAUCAUCGUGUGAUGCAUAAUGAGCUGAUCACCACAGAUGCAAGACUUGCUACUGCCUUAGUUGACAUGUAUGCAAAGCAAGGGCUCAUACAGACAGCUAUGGAUGUGUUUUCUGGUGUGGAUGACAAAUUUAAGACCGUGGAGUUGUUCAAUGCUAUGAUAGGCGGACUAGCUCAUCACAAUUCUGGUGAGAAAGCUAUUAUGCUUUUUGAUGAAAUGAGAUCGCUCGGGCUCCAUCCUGAUAAGAUCACUUUCACAGCAGUUUUGUGUGCAUGCAGCCGUGGUGGCUUAGUGGCACAAGGGUUUGAGAUCUUUAAUUCGAUGGUGGGCAAGUAUGGUGUAGAACAAGAUAUUAAGCAUUAUGCUUGCAUGGCUGAUCUCCUAGCAAGAGAUGGGCGGCUUGACGAUGCUUACCGUUUUAUCCAGAACAUGCCUUUCAAAGCAAAUAGUGUGGUCUGGGCUUCUCUUAGGAGAGAAUGUGAGAUCCGUGGAAAUAUGAGGAUUGGAGAACUUGCAGAGGAGGAACUUCUUCGGUUUGAUCCUAGCUACAAACCUGAAACUGAAAGCCUCGUCUUGUCUGACAUAUUUUCAGAUGGAAGGAAACAGAAAAGGGCUGCAAUGGUGAGAAAGGUUAUAGGCCUCAAACCUAAGCAUAAGCGUACAAAG